This 319-nucleotide unclassified non-coding RNA is filed under the name Nocardia vaccinii. Its description in RNAcentral is "16S-23S ribosomal RNA intergenic spacer region". The record is from RNAcentral. Lineage: Bacteria; Bacillati; Actinomycetota; Actinomycetes; Mycobacteriales; Nocardiaceae.
AAGGAGCACUUCUACGUAACUCUUCGAAGAGUCGGAUGAUGUUGCGUCAGAGACCGUUUAGUCCUCACAUGUAGGGCUGCGGAUGCUCAUGGGUGGAACGCUGGCAAGCUCAUCGCUUCACGGUCGAGGUCAUGUCUUCGGCUGCGGUGAUAUAUCGACACACUAUUGGGUCCUGAAAGAACAGACGUUCUUUCCAGGCAAAAGACGACGAGAUCUUCUUCGCGGUUAUACCGCAGGGAUUCCCUGGCUGGUGCCGCAGUAGCGGGAAGGUUUUGUGUGUUGUUUGAGAACUGCACAGUGGACGCGAGCAUCUUUGUUU